UUGAGUCGACGCAUUCCAAUGUUACGUUGUAGCUUUGCAAAUGUUGAAUUCGGUAACGAUUUUGUGAAUAAGUCUGCAAGGUUGUCACAUGAUUGAAUUUGUUGUACAUCAAUUUCACCAUUCUUUUGAAGCUCGUGAGUAUAAAAGAAUUUCGGUGAAAUGUGUNUUUUGUGAAUAAGUCUGCAAGGUUGUCACAUGAUUGAAUUUGUUGUACAUCAAUUUCACCAUUCUUUUGAAGCUCGUGAGUAUAAAAGAAUUUCGGUGAAAUGUGUUUCGUCCUGUCUCCUUUGAUAUAUCCCUCUUUGAGUUGAUCAAUGCAUGCAGUGUUAUCUUCAAACAUAACAGUAGGACUUCUCGUGAUAUCCGGUAAUCCACACGAUUCUUGAAUAUUCUUGAUAAUAGAUCGCAACCAAACACAUUCUCUACUAGCUUCGUAUAUUGCAAUUAGUUCUGAAUGAUUUGUCGAGGUUGCCACUGUAGUUUGCUUCGUGGAUUUCCAGGAAAUGGCUGUACCGCAAUAUGUGAAUACAUAUCCAGUUUGUGAUUUGCCAAAAUGUGGAUCUGAUAGAUAUCCAGCAUGUGCAUAUCCAAUCAACUGAGAUGUCGAGUUUUCCGGAAAGAAUAACCCAAAAUCAAUUGUUCCACGAAGAUAACGAAAUAUAUGCUUGAUCCCAUUC
Molecule: long non-coding RNA, 677 nt
Filed under: Daucus carota (carrot)
Lineage: Eukaryota; Viridiplantae; Streptophyta; Magnoliopsida; Apiales; Apiaceae
Description: long non-coding RNA (DCAR_LNC004536)
Source: RNAcentral